GUGUUGGCUUCAGCAGCACAUAUACUAAAAUUGGAACGAUACAGAGAAGAUUAGCAUGGCCCCUGAGCAAGGGGAAAUUCGUGAAGCGCUCCAAAUUAAA
Vulpes vulpes (red fox) is the source of this 100-nucleotide small nuclear RNA. NCBI's taxonomy places the organism in Eukaryota, Metazoa, Chordata, Mammalia, Carnivora, Canidae. The record is from Ensembl.